CAGCGCGCAAUUACCCACUCCCGGCACGGGGAGGUAGUGACGAAAAAUAACGAUACGGGACUCAUCCGAGGCCCCGUAAUCGGAAUGAGUACACUUUAAAUCCUUUAACGAGGAUCAAUUGGAGGGCAAGUCUGGUGCCAGCAGCCGCGGUAAUUCCAGCUCCAAUAGCGUAUAUUAAAGUUGUUGCGGUUAAAAAGCUCGUAGUCGAAUUUGUGUCUCAUGCCGCUGGUUCAUCGUUCGCGGUGACGACUGGCGUGUCAUGGGACGUCCUGCCGGUGGAUUUAGCUCCUUCGGGGGCGGUCCUAUUAAUCCUGCCGCGUUGCUCUUGAUUGAGUGACGAGGUGGGCCGGCUCAUUUACUUUGAACAAAUUAAAGUGCUUAAAGCAGGCUAAAAUUUUGCCUGAAUAUGUGUGCAUGGAAUAAUGGAAUAGGACCUCGGUUCUAUUUUGUUGGUUUUAAGAACACUGAGGUAAUGAUUAAUAGGAACGGAUGGGGGCAUUCGUAUUGCGACGUUAGAGGUGAAAUUCUUGGAUCGUCGCAAGACGAACAUAAGCGAAAGCAUUUGCCAAAAACGUUUUCAUUGAUCAAGAACGAAAGUUAGAGGUUCGAAGGCGAUCAGAUACCGCCCUAGUUCUAACCAUAAACGAUGCCAGCCAGCGAUCCGCCGACGUUCCUCCGAUGACUCGGCGGGCAGCUUCCGGGAAACCAAAGCUUUUGGGU
This 720-nucleotide ribosomal RNA is filed under the name Calospasta elegans. RNAcentral describes it as "SSU rRNA". It matches the Rfam family "Eukaryotic small subunit ribosomal RNA", at positions 429 to 1112 of the family's 1831-position model. Lineage: Eukaryota; Metazoa; Arthropoda; Insecta; Coleoptera; Meloidae. The record is from RNAcentral.